This 241-nucleotide unclassified non-coding RNA is filed under the name Paralepistopsis acromelalga. RNAcentral's name for it is "Clitocybe acromelalga ITS1". Lineage: Eukaryota; Fungi; Basidiomycota; Agaricomycetes; Agaricales; Clitocybaceae. The record is from RNAcentral.
UUGAAUAAACUUGGUUGGGUUGUUGCUGGCUCUUAGGAGCAGGUGCACACCUGAUAACCAUUUUUAAACCACCUGUGCACAUUUUUGUAGACUUUGGAUACCUGUCGAGGCAACUCGGUCUAAGGAUUGCUGGUGCGAAAGCUUAAGCUCUCUUUACAUUUCCGGUCUAUGUAUUUAUACACUCUAUCAGUAUGUUUGUGGGGAUGUCAUUAAUAGGCCUAAAGUGCCUUUAAAAUUAAUA